AACGUAGGAGACAAACGUUAUCCGGAGUUACUGGGCGUAAAGGGCGUGUAGGCGGUCUGUUAAGUCUGGCGUGAAAGCUCUCGGCUAAACCGGGAGAGGUCGUUGGAUACUGGCAGACUAGAGGACGGUAGAGGCGUGUGGAAUUCCGGGUGUAGUGGUGAAAUGCGCAGAUAUCAGGAGGAACACCAAUGGCGAAGGCAGCUCGCUGGAACGGUACUGACGCUGAGGCGCGAAAGCGUGGGGAGCGAACAGG
This 253-nucleotide ribosomal RNA is filed under the name uncultured bacterium. RNAcentral describes it as "partial 16S ribosomal RNA". It matches the Rfam family "Bacterial small subunit ribosomal RNA", at positions 524 to 776 of the family's 1533-position model. The record is from RNAcentral.